Molecule: non-coding RNA, 82 nt
Organism: Ixodes scapularis (black-legged tick)
Lineage: Eukaryota; Metazoa; Arthropoda; Arachnida; Ixodida; Ixodidae
Source: Rfam
GCAGUCGUGGCCGAGUGGUUAAGGCGAUGGACUCGAAAUUCAUUGAAGUCUCCCCGCACAGGUUCGAAUCCUGUCGACUGUG